GACGUAGGAGGCGAGCGUUGUCCGGAUUCAUUGGGCGUAAAGAGCUCGUAGGCGGUCUGUUGCGUCGGCUGUGAAAACCCGAGGCUCAACCUCGGGCCUGCAGCCGAUACGGGCAGACUAGAGUUCGGCAGGGGAGACUGGAAUUCCUGGUGUAGCGGUGAAAUGCGCAGAUAUCAGGAGGAACACCGGUGGCGAAGGCGGGUCUCUGGGCCGAUACUGACGCUGAGGAGCGAAAGCGUGGGGAGCGAACAGG
RNAcentral lists this ribosomal RNA (253 nucleotides) under uncultured bacterium. Its description in RNAcentral is "partial 16S ribosomal RNA". It matches the Rfam family "Bacterial small subunit ribosomal RNA", at positions 524 to 776 of the family's 1533-position model. The record is from RNAcentral.